RNAcentral lists this non-coding RNA (148 nucleotides) under Homo sapiens (human). The record is from Rfam by way of RNAcentral. Lineage: Eukaryota; Metazoa; Chordata; Mammalia; Primates; Hominidae.
GCCAGGCGCGGUGGCGGGCGCCUGUAAUCCCAGCUACUUGGGAGGCUGAGGCAGGAGAAUAGCUUGAACCCGGGAGGCAGAGGUUGCAGUGAGCCUAGAUCGCGCCACUGCACUCCAGCCUGGGUGACAGAGCGAGACUCUUCCUCAA